UUAGAGGCCGUUAGAAUUUUGUCAGUACCCAGCGAUUCCCGUACACGGAUGUACGGGAAAGGACGACAUGAGCCCGGAUGGCGAAUGUCGUCCGGUCGCGUCCGGCACGCAAAAUCUUUCGCCAAAAUUCUUACAGCCUCUUCC
RNAcentral lists this non-coding RNA (144 nucleotides) under Roseburia faecis. Lineage: Bacteria; Bacillati; Bacillota; Clostridia; Lachnospirales; Lachnospiraceae. The record is from RNAcentral.